RNAcentral lists this long non-coding RNA (216 nucleotides) under Elaeis guineensis (African oil palm). Its description in RNAcentral is "long non-coding RNA (EGUI_LNC022311)". The record is from RNAcentral. Lineage: Eukaryota; Viridiplantae; Streptophyta; Magnoliopsida; Arecales; Arecaceae.
GUGAACACUUUUAAUAUUAUAAAAAAAUAGAAUAUCAUGUCUCCUUCUUAAUGAUCUUUAUUAUAUAUUAAUAUAAGUUUCAUACAAUGUAACAUAAGGACAUAUCAUAUCAUCAAAUAUAACAUCAAAAUAGUAUACAUAAAAUAUGCAUAUAAUAAAAAUAAAAAAAUAUUUUAUUAUCAAAUAAUAAAAAAAAUUAUUGGUUUUGUAGGAUAU